Molecule: ribosomal RNA, 420 nt
Filed under: uncultured bacterium
Lineage: Bacteria
Description: bacterial SSU rRNA
Rfam family: Bacterial small subunit ribosomal RNA
Source: RNAcentral
AAGGAAUAUUGGGCAAUGGACGCAAGUCUGACCCAGCCAUGCCGCGUGGAGGAUGAAGGUCCUCUGGAUUGUAAACUUCUUUUAUCUGGGAAGAAAUCUAUUUUUUCUAAAGUAGUUGACGGUACCAGAUGAAUAAGCACCGGCUAACUCCGUGCCAGCAGCCGCGGUAAUACGGAGGGUGCAAGCGUUAUCCGGAUUCACUGGGUUUAAAGGGUGCGUAGGUGGGUUGGUAAGUCAGUGGUGAAAUCUCCAGGCUUAACUUGGAAACUGCCAUUGAUACUAUCAGUCUUGAAUACCGUGGAGAUGAGCGGAAUAUGUCAUGUAGCGGUGAAAUGCUUAGAUAUGACAUAGAACACCAAUUGCGAAGGCAGCUCGUUACACGAAUAUUGACACUGAUGCACGAAAGCGUGGGGAUCAAAC